Long non-coding RNA from Cyprinodon variegatus (sheepshead minnow), 373 nucleotides. RefSeq lists it as uncharacterized. The record is from RefSeq and is a predicted model, not a curated record. The transcript is spliced from 3 exons. Lineage: Eukaryota; Metazoa; Chordata; Actinopteri; Cyprinodontiformes; Cyprinodontidae.
GCUUCUAGGUGACCAUGGAGGCUCUACUCAGUGUUCAGCAGCUUCUAGGUGACCAUGGAGGCUCUACUCAGUGUUCAGCAGCUUCUAGGUGACCAUGGAGGCUCUACUCAGUGUUCAGCAGCUUCUAGGUGACCAUGGAGGCUCUACAAUGUGUUCAGCAGCUUUCUUCUGCUGGUGUCUUGCAGGUUCAGCAAGCUUCCCGGUUUUAUCCUGCUGGAAAACGUCAAAGGCUUUGAGAUCUCCUCUGCCAGGGAGAGAUUGCUGCAGACGCUGCUGGGAUGUGGAUACACCUUCCAGGAGUUCAUGAUCUCCCCAACAAGUGUGGGGAUCCCAAACUCCCGUCUGCGUUAUUUCCUGGUUGCUAAACUUUCUG